GAUGAACGCUAGCUACAGGCUUAACACAUGCAAGUCGAGGGGUAACGAGAGGAAAGCUUGCUUUCCUUGUCGACGACCGGCGCACGGGUGAGUAACGCGUAUCCAACCUGCCCCCAACUAGGGAAUAACCUUGCGAAAGUAAGACUAAUACCCUAUAAUUUCCUCAGAUGUCAUCUGACGAGGAAUAAAGAUUUAUCGGUUGUGGAUGGGGAUGCGUCUGAUUAGCUUGUUGGCGGGGUAACGGCCCACCAAGGCAACGAUCAGUAGGGGUUCUGGGAGGAAGGACCCCCAUAUUGGAACUGAGGCACGGACCAAACUCCUACGGGAGGCAGCAGUGAGGAAUAUUGGUCAAUGGGCGGAAGCCUGAACCAGCCAAGUAGCGUGCAGGAUGACGGCCCUAUGGGUUGUAAACUGCUUUUAUACAGGAAUAAAGUUAGCCACGUGUGGUUAUUUGUAGGUACUGUAUGAAUAAGGACCGGCUAAUUCCGUGCCAGCAGCCGCAGUAA
Molecule: ribosomal RNA, 506 nt
Filed under: uncultured bacterium
Lineage: Bacteria
Description: partial 16S ribosomal RNA
Rfam family: Bacterial small subunit ribosomal RNA
Source: RNAcentral